GGGGCUAUAGCGCAGCUGGUAGCGCAUCUGCUUUGCAAGCAGAGGGUCGCCGGUUCGAGUCCGGCUAGCUCCACCA
Molecule: transfer RNA, 76 nt
Filed under: Aeriscardovia sp.
Lineage: Bacteria; Bacillati; Actinomycetota; Actinomycetes; Bifidobacteriales; Bifidobacteriaceae
Description: tRNA-Ala
Rfam family: tRNA
About the family: Transfer RNA (tRNA) molecules are approximately 80 nucleotides in length. Their secondary structure includes four short double-helical elements and three loops (D, anti-codon, and T loops). Further hydrogen bonds mediate the characteristic L-shaped molecular structure. tRNAs have two regions of fundamental functional importance: the anti-codon, which is responsible for specific mRNA codon recognition, and the 3' end, to which the tRNAs corresponding amino acid is attached (by aminoacyl-tRNA synthetases). tRNAs cope with the degeneracy of the genetic code in two manners: having more than one tRNA (with a specific anti-codon) for a particular amino acid; and 'wobble' base-pairing, i.e. permitting non-standard base-pairing at the 3rd anti-codon position.
Source: RNAcentral